AGUGAACGCUGGCGGUAGGCCUAACACAUGCAAGUCGAACGGCAGCACAGUAAGAGCUUGCUCUUACGGGUGGCGAGUGGCGGGCGGGUGAGGAAUACAUCGGAAUCUACUUUUUCGUGGGGGAUAACGUAGGGAAACUUACGCUAAUACCGCAUACGACCUACGGGUGAAAGCAGGGGAUCUUCGGACCUUGCGCGAUUGAAUGAGCCGAUGUCGGAUUAGCUAGUUGGCGGGGUAAAGGCCCACCAAGGCGACGAUCCGUAGCUGGUCUGAGAGGAUGAUCAGCAACACUGGAACUGAGACACGGUCCAGACUCCGACGGGAGGCAGCAGUGGGGAAUAUUGGACAAUGGGCGAAAGCCUGAUCCAGCCAUACCGCGUGGGUGAAGAAGGCCUUCGGGUUGUAAAGCCCUUUUGUUGGGAAAGAAAAGCAGCAGGUUAAUACCCCGCUGUUCUGACGGUACCCAAAGAAUAAGCACCGGCUAACUUCGUG
RNAcentral lists this ribosomal RNA (492 nucleotides) under uncultured bacterium. RNAcentral describes it as "partial 16S ribosomal RNA". It matches the Rfam family "Bacterial small subunit ribosomal RNA", at positions 29 to 507 of the family's 1533-position model. The record is from RNAcentral.